RNAcentral lists this ribosomal RNA (519 nucleotides) under Listeria monocytogenes. RNAcentral describes it as "partial 23S ribosomal RNA". It matches the Rfam family "Bacterial large subunit ribosomal RNA", at positions 677 to 1193 of the family's 2925-position model. Lineage: Bacteria; Bacillati; Bacillota; Bacilli; Caryophanales; Listeriaceae. The record is from RNAcentral.
GCGAGUCUGAAUAGGGCGCAUAAGUAACAGGUCGUAGACCCGAAACCAGGUGAUCUACCCAUGUCCAGGAUGAAGGUAAGGUAAUACUUACUGGAGGUCCGAACCCACGCACGUUGAAAAGUGCGGGGAUGAGGUGUGGGUAGCGGAGAAAUUCCAAUCGAACUUGGAGAUAGCUGGUUCUCUCCGAAAUAGCUUUAGGGCUAGCCUCGAGGUAAAGAGUCAUGGAGGUAGAGCACUGUUUGGACUAGGGGCCCUUCUCGGGUUACCGAAUUCAGAUAAACUCCGAAUGCCAUGUACUUAUACUCGGGAGUCAGACUGCGAGUGAUAAGAUCCGUAGUCGAAAGGGAAACAGCCCAGACCACCAGUUAAGGUCCCCAAAUAUAUGUUAAGUGGAAAAGGAUGUGGGGUUGCUUAGACAACCAGGAUGUUGGCUUAGAAGCAGCCACCAUUGAAAGAGUGCGUAAUAGCUCACUGGUCGAGUGACCCCGCGCCGAAAAUGUACCGGGGCUAAACAUAUUA